GGGGCCUAAUGCUCGUACUCGAUAUCGAGUUGUUUCGAUAGAUAAUUUGAAUUUUUGGAUUACCGUAUCCGUGAUCGAAUAAAAUUCAUCGAUAUGUCGAAUAAAACUAUUCGAGUUUUUGCCCGCCACAUUCUACCUGUCGAGACCAAAACAAAACAGAAGAAAAACGAAAUGAGCACGAAUUGCAACAAAAUAAAUUUUAAGCAAAAGGCAAUUAUGGCAGAUUUUAUGUCUGACCACCCGGGACUUGCCAAAGGAAAAAUUUCGAAUUGUCCAGAAGGUAGAGCGUCAUCCAAUCGUUUGUGGGAGCAGUUGACAACCAAAUUAUGGUAUCCCUUUCGGUUGAAGAACAUGUGUUCGUUUUCGGUGGGUUUCUGCAAUCCGAAAUGUGUUCCAUCUACACAUCCAAUUACCAAAAAAUGAAUCCGAAACUUUGUACAGAAAUGUUCCAUACACAAAGCCGACUGGUCUGGUGAAAAGUUGAUGUGUUCUGGACAAAGUUUUAGUUCCAUUUCUUUUGCGACUCGCUGGGCAACCCUGC
Musca domestica (house fly) is the source of this 541-nucleotide long non-coding RNA. RefSeq lists it as uncharacterized. The transcript is spliced from 3 exons. The record is from RefSeq and is a predicted model, not a curated record. NCBI's taxonomy places the organism in Eukaryota, Metazoa, Arthropoda, Insecta, Diptera, Muscidae.